GGGCCCGCACAAGCGGUGGAGCAUGUGGUUUAAUUCGAUGAUACGCGAGGAACCUUACCAGGACUUAAAUGUAAGUUGCAUGAUUCAGAAAUGAGUCUUUCUUCGGACUACUUACAAGGUGCUGCAUGGUUGUCGUCAGCUCGUGCCGUGAGGUGUCAGGUUAAGUCCUAUAACGAGCGCAACCCCUAUCGUUAGUUGCCAUCAAGUAAAGUUGGGAACUCUAGCGAAACUGCCGGUGCAAACCGUGAGGAAGGUGGGGAUGACGUCAAAUCAUCACGGCCCUUACGUUCUGGGCUACACACGUGCUACAAUGGCCGGUACAGAAAGCAGCCACUAUGCGAAUAGGAGCUAAUCUACAAACCCUAUCUCAGUUCGGAUCGCAGUCUGCAACUCGACUGCGUGAAGCUGGAAUCGCUAGUAAUCG
RNAcentral lists this ribosomal RNA (424 nucleotides) under uncultured bacterium. RNAcentral describes it as "bacterial SSU rRNA". It matches the Rfam family "Bacterial small subunit ribosomal RNA", at positions 917 to 1344 of the family's 1533-position model. The record is from RNAcentral.